GAUGAACGCUGGCGGAAUGCUUUACACAUGCAAGUCGAACGGCAGCACGGGUGCUUGCACCUGGUGGCGAGUGGCGAACGGGUGAGUAAUGCACCGGAACGUAUCCAAUAAUGGGGGAUAACGCACCGAAAGGUGUGCUAAUACCGCAUACGCCCUGAGGGGGAAAGCGGGGGAUCGUAAGACCUCGCGUUAAUGGAGCGGCCGAUGCCGGAUUAGCUAGUUGGUGAGGUAAAGGCUCACCAAGGCGACGAUCCGUAGCUGGUCUGAGAGGACGACCAGCCACACUGGAACU
This 292-nucleotide ribosomal RNA is filed under the name uncultured bacterium. RNAcentral describes it as "partial 16S ribosomal RNA". It matches the Rfam family "Bacterial small subunit ribosomal RNA", at positions 28 to 320 of the family's 1533-position model. The record is from RNAcentral.